This 484-nucleotide ribosomal RNA is filed under the name uncultured bacterium. RNAcentral's name for it is "partial 16S ribosomal RNA". It matches the Rfam family "Bacterial small subunit ribosomal RNA", at positions 30 to 507 of the family's 1533-position model. The record is from RNAcentral.
AUUGAACGCUGGCGGAAUGCUUUACACAUGCAAGUCGAACGGCAGCACGGGGGCAACCCUGGUGGCGAGUGGCGAACGGGUGAGUAAUACAUCGGAACGUGCCCGGUCGUGGGGGAUAACGUAGCGAAAGUUACGCUAAUACCGCAUACGAUCUGAGGAUGAAAGCGGGGGACCUUCGGGCCUCGCGCGAUCGGAGCGGCCGAUGUCAGAUUAGGUAGUUGGUGGGGUAAAGGCCUACCAAGCCGACGAUCUGUAGCUGGUCUGAGAGGACGACCAGCCACACUGGAACUGAGACACGGCCCAGACUCCUACGGGAGGCAGCAGUGGGGAAUUUUGGACAAUGGGCGCAAGCCUGAUCCAGCCAUUCCGCGUGCAGGACGAAGGCCUUCGGGUUGUAAACUGCUUUUGUAUGGAACGAAAAGGCUCUGGCUAAUACCUGGGGCUCAUGACGGUACCGUAAGAAUAAGCACCGGCUAACUACGUG